RNAcentral lists this long non-coding RNA (5788 nucleotides) under Ananas comosus (pineapple). RNAcentral's name for it is "long non-coding RNA (ACOM_LNC021536)". Lineage: Eukaryota; Viridiplantae; Streptophyta; Magnoliopsida; Poales; Bromeliaceae. The record is from RNAcentral.
AUUUUUUUUUUUUUUUUUCUUUUGUGGCCUAUAAGAGCAGGUUAUUUGGAGAUGGGGUACUGAUUACUAGGUACUCUGAAGAGAAAUAUUUUGGUCUUUUAAAAUAGGGGUAAUUAAGUAAUUGUGCCUCCGCUCUCUCUUUCUCCAUUAUUUCUCUCCUCUCUCCGUGUCCCCUUUCUUUCUCUAUUUUUCCUCUCCAUUCUACUAUUAGGAUUUAGUUAUAUUUGUAGUUGAAUCCUAAUUGGAUUAUAAUUAAUAUUUAAAUCUGUUUGAGAUAAAUUAAGAUUUAAUAUGAAUCUAACAUAUUAGGAUAAAUAUUGAAAUUUAUUGGAGAUAAAUCAAAUAUAGAUUUAAAUGUUAUUUGGAGUAGGAAUCCUAAUUGGAUUAGGAUUCAGGUACGUUUUGAUAUAAGCUUCAUAAAUAGCUCCAUUGGUGGAGAGCUUAAAGAGUUGUACGGUGAAGUUGAGACUCUUGAGGAGGGUACGAUGAAAUGUCUUGAAGCCAUUAGUGGGCCGUACCAAAGAGAAGCUUGGCCAUGAGUUGUAUGCACCUAGUACACGGGUGGAUGUGAGAGAGAUAAGAGAGUUGUCAUUUAGUUGUCUUUUAGGUUUAUAAAAAACGAGAGAAGGGUAGGAGAGAUUCAAAAAGAGGGUUCGGGAUUGUAGCUACUCUAUACAGAAGAGGAGUCAUUUGUAAUCUUCUCUUAUUUAAUGAAUCUUAUUUUACACGCAAAUUUUCUUUUUUGGUUUUUCUCUCUUCUGUGAUUGUAUCAAUUUUUGCUGAGGAGACAGGUUUAUGGUAAAAAUCUGAUUCGACGCUUCCGUUGCGGAAUCACAACAAUUAGUAUUUGAUCAACAACAGUUGGUAUCGGAGCGGGUUGCAGAUUCACAAAAUCUAGUACCGGGGCGAGUACCGGAUUCCCAACAAUUGGUAUUAGAGUUUAAGGCUACCGAUCUGCGGGAGAGAUCGACGAAGAUUGCUACAAAAUUCAAAAUCGAGAAGUUCGACGACAAGAAUAAUUUCAGAUUGUAGUAGAUUAAAGUACAGACGAUCCUCGUACAACAAGAGUUUAAUGAGACGUUGAACGGGAAGGAGGCGAAGCCGGCGGAGGUCACGAAUGCGACAUAGAUGAAGAUAGAACAGAAGGCGUUGAGCACGCUUCAUCUGUCAUUAGCAGAUGAGGUUCUUUACAACGUAGCCAGCGAGACGACACCAGCGAAGUUGUGGAAGAAAUUAAAAGAUCUGUAUAUGACCAAAUUCUUGAGGAACAGGUUGUAUCUGAAGCAGUGACUGUUUACGCUGCGGAUGUAGGAAGCGGCGAGCCUUCAUGAGCAUCUUAACGAGUUCAAUAAGGUGGUGGCCCAGUUGACUAGCAUCGGAGUCAAUCUGGAUGGUAAGGAUAAGGUGCUGAUUUUACUAUCUUCACUACCGGCGACAUAUGAGUAUCUGGUGAUCACAUUGCUUUAUAGCAAGGAGACCAUAAGCGUGGAGGUGGUCAUGGCGGCAUUUCUCUUGAACGAGAUACGGAAGAUGACUCAGGAGUUCAGCACGCAAAGUCAGGAUGUAAGGCUGGUGGUGAGAGCGAAAAAAGAGGCGACAACAUCGGCGACCGGAUAUCGACAGAAGAAGCCGCUAUCUGAGGUCGAGUGCUUUUACUGUCAUAGGAAAUGGCAUAUUAAGCGCAAUUGUCGAAAACUUCAGGAUAAUCUGAAGGAGUUAAAGCGACAGAAGGAGAAAACUAUUGUGAAACAGGAUGAGACGGUAUCAGCGACGGCGUAGGCGACAGAGUCGAAGACGAUCGAUUCUGAUGUGCUGUAUGCGGCGACCGGAUGUGCUAAAAUUUCGGAUGACUCGUGGGUGCUUGAUUCGGCGUGUUCUUUUCACGUAUACCAGGAAAAGGAGUCUUUUGUCAUCUAUAAAGCGAUCAAGGGUGGAAAAGCUCUGAUGGGGAACGGAACAGCUUGCACACUUUUAGAAAUCGGCACGGUGAAGAUCCGAAUGCACGAUAGGGUCGUGAGGAUGCUGACAAGUGUGCGACAUGUUCCUAAUUUGAAGCGAAAUUUGAUCUCGUUAGGGACAUUGGACUCGAAGGGUUGCGAUUUUUCAGCUUCAGAUGGAGCUAUGAGGGUCCGAAAGAGAGAUCAGGUCGUGUGCGAGGCAAACAAACGCGGUAACUUAUACGUUCUGAACGGGAGUACAGUCGAAACGGGAGCGAAAAUGGUUUAGGUUCCAAAAGUUUACGGAGGUGCAGUCGCUCGAGGCAGAACGACGAAUGCGGCGACAUAGAGUGGAGACAAGCUCAAGAUGGAGCUUGCAUGGUGAGCUCGACGCAAGGGUUGAAAACUAUAAAUCCAACUAAGGUGGAGAAUGUUAGGAUUUGGUUAGAUUUGUAAUUGAAUCCUAUUAGGAUUAAUAUUUAAAUCUGUUAAAGAUAAAUUAAGAUUUAAAUAUUAAUUAGAGUAUGAAUCUAACUAGAUUAGGAUAAAUAUUUAAAUAUAUUAGAGAUAAAUCAAAUAUAGAUUUAAAUAUUAUUUGGAGUAGGAAUUUUAGUUGGAUUAGGAUUCGGGUAUAUUUUGAUGUAAACUUUAUAAAUAGCUCCAUUGGUGGAGAGCUUGAGGAGGGUAUAGUGAGGUGUCUUGAAGCCAUUGGUGGACCGUACCAAAGAGAAGGUUGGCCAUGAGUUGCAUGCACCUAGUGCAUGAGUGCAAGUGAGAGAGAAAGAGAGUUGUCUUUUAGGUUUAUAAAAGACGAGAGAAGAAUAAGAGAGAUUCACAAAGAGGGCUCGGGAUUGUAGCCACUCAGAAGAGAAGUCAGGUGUAAUCUUCUUUUAUUUAAUGAAUCGUAUUUUACCCGCAUUUUUUUUUUAGUUUUUCUCUCUUUUGUAAUUGUAUCAGUUUUUGCUGUGGAGACGGAUUUAAGAUAAAAACCCGAUUCGUUGCGGAAUCACAACAAUUGGUACCGCAUCAACAACAGUCGGUAUCAGAGCGGUUUACGGAUUCACAAAAUCCGAUACCGAGGCGAGUACCGGAUUCCCAACAUCUACAUAAUCACUGCCUCUCCAUUUCCCCAUUUUCUCAUUUCCUCUCUCUUUUCUCUCCGUUUAACCAAAAAUUAAAAAAAUAAAAUAAAAUAAAAAAAUCUCUGGAGGACAAUCCAAAUAGCAUUCUAAAAGGUGAUACAAUAUUGGGGCACCUCUGCAGCGUCGGCGCAGUCAAGGCCUUCUAGAGGAUUCUUUACGAGGGCUCCGGUCCGGUGGAGGCUUCAAAAUUAAUGUCUAAAUUAAUAAAGCUCUAAAAUUCCUUUUAUAUAUGAGCAAUGCUCUUAUGCACCGAACAAAUCUCAAUCAUUACGAUAGACCUAUAAAAAGAGGGUUGGCACUUGAGGGUAUAGGUACUGGUCACCACUUUAAUAAGGGCAAAAUUUUUUUUUAUUACAUGGAGUUUGCAAUAAGGGCAUUUUGGUAAAUUUUCAUCCUCGUAACAUGUCAUUUUUGUAAAUUUAGAAUAUUCCACCUUCCUUCAUUCUUAUCCUCUAAUAUUCCAUCGUUGUAUUAUUAUCUUUCCUAAAUUAAACCUCAUGUCUUUAAACCAUAGUUAGUUAAUUCGAGUACGAUAAAAAUUCGAUACGGAUAAAAUACGAAUAAAAUUCGUAACUUAAUUUUUAAGUUCGUUGAAAAAUACGGUUUAAAAAUUAGAUUCGCCAAUAAUUUGUAUACGCGAUUUAUACGAAAAUUUUACGUUUAUCAUUUAAAAAUUCGGAAUAAAAAUUCGUUUAUUUAAUUGAAAUUUUUUUAGAUUUAUGCUAUUAUCAUGCAUAAAUAAUUAUAAUUCUUAUAAAAUAUAAAAAUAAAAUUGGAUAUAUAUAUAUAUAUAUAUAUAUAUAUAUAUAUAUAUACACACACACACAAAAACAAUCAUGAGAAAAUAAAACUAUCGGAUUCAUUAAUUCCCACACUAUCACAAAUCCUCAAAGGGGAAUGAAGAGAUAGAACUAGUUAUAUAGAACGGUUAUGUAUUUGAUUUAUUUUUUGCAACUUAUUCUAGUUUAAUUAUAAAGUAAUUUUAGCUGGGUUUGCUGAACCAUUGACAAAUUCUACAUCCUUUUAUUAGUAACACCUACUGUGCAAGCUUACCUGUUUGGAUGAAAGGAAACAUAAUAACAGUGACAAAGAAUNCAUUGGAUCUACUCCUUGAUUACUAAUAGCCCUUGGAUCAAACACUAUUCCACCUACCACCACCGACCAUCAUCAUCUCAACCUCAUAUCUCUCUAUCCAAUGGCUAAAAUCUCAAAAGCACCACUCACAUAAUACUUUUACAAGUAUUCUAGCUUAACUCUAUAUAUAUAUAGAGCGAGAGGUCCACCGUGGACCUCUCACUCCACACAGUCCACGAGGCUGAGUGCAGCCUUAUGGACCGCAAUAUUUUCCUACACGUAGGCCGCAAUUUCUUCUUCCUCUAAUAUUUUUAAACUUUUUAAAUUAAUUGUUUUUGCUAUCGAACGAACAAUUUAAAUUAAUUUUAAAAAUAAAAGCCUUUAAUUUAAAUAAAAAAUAAAAGUUAUAUUUAUAAAUACAGCAUAAUUUAUAAUUUAAAUUAAAUUAUAUAUAUUUGAAAUUUCGUGUCAUUUUAAUAUAUCAAAUUAAACAAUUUGAAUUGAAAUAUACUAUUCAUUUAAACAUAAAUUUUUUCAUUCUGAAAUAAAAAUAAAAAUUAAAUUUGAAUUUAAUGACACAAUUAUAAAGUUUAAGCUCAAAUUGAAUUUUAAAUUCAAUUUAUAAAGGUUAUUACUUAUCAAAUUAGCACUAUCUAAUUUGGAAAGUAACAAAAUUAAACAAGGAAACAAAUAUUUGUAUAAAGUUGAUCAAAUUUGGUAAUUAGUUUGUAUUUUUUUCCCAUAUUAUCCUUACAAAUGGUAACCUGUUGAGCAGGUAACCACUAUGCAAAAGUCAAUCUUUUCCCUUAAAAUAUGAACGAUUAGAUUUAUUUUAUAUGGUGUAUUGAAGCAUUCCUCUAUAUAAUAUAUAUAUAUAUAUAUAUGAGAGAGAGAGAGAGAGAGAGAGAGAGAGAGAGAAGAGAGAGAGAGGAGAGAGAGAGAGCUAGCUGAUAUACUAUCGGUAGCACGUAUAUAUAUAUAUAUAUAUAUAUAUAUAGAGAGAGAGAGAGAGAGAGAGAGAGAGAGAGAGAGAGAGAGAGAGAGAGAGAGAGAGCUAGGCUGAUAUACUAUCGGUAGCACGAAGAUUUCCGUGCUACCAAGUUGUUUUCAAUGAUACGGCUUUUAAAUCGACAAUCGGCUUUGUUGGACUUGAUCUACACUAUUAAAAAUAUUUGGAAACUAAAUUUCAUAAUUUUUCGACAUCAUUUGACUAAUAAUAAAAAAGCUUCAAAAUUGACAAUUUUAAUGGUAGAUGUGAUGCGUUUGUGAAUUUAAUGAUGUAAAACAAUCCAAAUCUGAUGAAAGUUUUAUAGAAAAUUCUUUUUACUAUUUAGAGUAAGAUCAAUACUUCUGAUCUUAAAUUCAAGUCUUUUAUCAUUAUUUUUUAAGAGAUUUUUAUUUUCAGCUGUUCAUUUUAGACUACUUGUUUGAUAGGUAGAUGAUGCUGAAAAAUUAUGAAAUUUAGUUUUCAAACAUUUUCAAUAGUGUGGAUUAAGUCUAACGGAGCCGAUCGUCGAUUUAGAAGCCGCAUCAUUGAAAAUACAAAGAGGAUCGUACUCAUAAGAGUAUAGUAGCCGGACUCGAUAACUUGUUGGUCGUGAGCUAGCUCAAUAUUAUUCUUUAUUAAUCAAUAAU